Drosophila sechellia is the source of this 193-nucleotide long non-coding RNA. RefSeq lists it as uncharacterized. Lineage: Eukaryota; Metazoa; Arthropoda; Insecta; Diptera; Drosophilidae. The record is from RefSeq and is a predicted model, not a curated record. The transcript has 3 exons.
CGAUCUGAAAACUGGCACGGAAUGGAAACAUACUCUGCUGCCAAGACCCAUCACAUUUUAAUCAGUAUUUUACAAUCAUCUACAUAAGAUUUUGUUGGAGAGAACGACCCCAAAUCCAGAAUCUCCCUUUGCAAUCAGUCGAUCCCUGCCCCGCACCACCUGAAAGUUGCUGAGGAUGUGGACCAGAGCCGUU